This 802-nucleotide unclassified non-coding RNA is filed under the name Homo sapiens (human). Its description in RNAcentral is "decapping exoribonuclease (ENSG00000206346.8, ENSG00000224313.6, ENSG00000225682.6, ENSG00000234798.6)". The record is from RNAcentral. Lineage: Eukaryota; Metazoa; Chordata; Mammalia; Primates; Hominidae.
AACCUCCUUCGUGAAGCUCACACCUCCCCCGCCCCGGGAGGGGUUUGCCCGCCACUGUCGCUGAAUGAUUGCAUCAUCGAAAGCAGAAAACCACUUUUGCAUCCUUCGGCCUCUGGCGUGCCUGCCAUGACGUCAUAGCUCUGCGGAGGUGGAAGUUGGGGAGCUUUGAGACCCUGCCCUCUACUCUGGGCCCUUUCCUUUCUACCGGCGCCCUUCGGAACUGGGCUGCUUCUCCCUGGAUGCUCAACGCCAGUACCAUGGAGAUGCCCGAGCCCUGCGCUACUAUAGCCCACCCCCCACUAACGGUCCAGGCCCCAACUUUGACCUCAGAGACGGAUACCCGGAUCGAUACCAGCCCCGGGACGAGGAGGUCCAGGAAAGGCUGGACCACCUGCUGUGCUGGCUCCUGGAACACCGAGGCCGGUUGGAGGGGCUGGCUGGCAGAGGCCAUAGUGACGUGGCGGGGGCACCUGACAAAACUGCUGACGACACCGUAUGAGCGGCAGGAGGGCUGGCAGCUGGCAGCCUCCCGGUUCCAGGGAACACUAUACCUGAGUGAAGUGGAGACACCGAACGCUCGGGCCCAGAGGCUUGCUCGGCCACCGCUCCUCCGGGAGCUUAUGUACAUGGGAUACAAAUUUGAGCAGUACAUGUGUGCAGCCGCCUGGGAAGCCACCCUCUGCUCUUCUCAGGGGAGGUAGACUGCACAGACCCCCAAGCCCCAUCCACACAGCCCCCAACCUGCUAUGUGGAGCUCAAGACCUCCAAGGAGAUGCACAGCCCUGGCCAAUGGAGGAGUUUC